GUGAUCUUGCGUUGCGAGGCCAGUGUCAGUCAGAGCCUCCCCCAGCCGCUGACAUACUCCUUCAGCCUCCUGCAGGACAGUCAGGUGAUGUACUCCAAAAAUAGCAGUGCCUCAGUGGUGGAGCGCAGUUUAUCUCCAGCCAGGGUGUCCAACUCUGGUCGCUACCAGUGCAGUGUCCACAUCUACAACAAGCACAAGAUGAGCCUUCAAAUCCCUGUGCUGAAGGUGAUGUCUGACAUCGUGUCUGAGGGGGAAGACAUUAUUGCCACAUGCAGUGCACCAGAGGAGACAGGCAGUCUGAUGUUCUACUUCUACGAGGAUGAUCAGGAGGUCAAGAGAGUCGUUAGUACCAGCAACUCUGUGACAACCACUCUGACCAUGCAGAAGCUCACAGACAUCUACCUGCAUUGUGACUAUAUGGUUAUGAAGCAAUGCAGCGCAGGACACUCCAACAAAAGCAACAUGGUGAAAGUUAUUGUACAAGGUAAAAAUCUUGAUGCGAUCACCCCACAAAUAAGCAUCUCCCCCAAAGUGAAUGUUGUUGAGGGUGACAGGGUGCAGAUCACAUGUAAGGUGCAACUUAACUCAGAUCUUGAGUUGUACCUCACCAAAGGCAACACCCUUCUUCGUGAAUCUCAUACAACCUUCACAUACAGCCUCGUAGUAAGAGCUGAGGAUUCAGGGGUCUAUGUGUAUAAAGCAGAGAAAGGCAGCGUGCAAAAGAAGGCAGUCUAUCUGCUAAAUGUUGCAGAACUGUUCUCAAAGCCAAUUUUGAAAAUGAGCCCAGACCAGCUUUUUGAAGGAGAACGCUUCACUCUGACCUGCAGCAGUACUGUAAUCUCCUCAGUGAAGAUCGGAAAAGCAGACAUAAAGUAUGUUUUGCUGAAAGAUGGCCGACGCAUUGCAGCAGUUGCCAAAUACGAUGACACUGCAAGCCUGGCCACCAAUGGGAACUACUACUGUAUGGCCAUGGCUAAAGAAGUUAACAAGACCAGCUUACCAUUUAUUUUAAAGGCUAAAGUGCCUGUUUCUGCCCCAGUCCUUCGUGCUGUUAAUAAGGUGAUUGUUGGUAAACCAUUCAGAGUUUCAUGUGAGUCUGAAAAUGGAACGUUUCCAAUAACCUACACCUUACUGAAGACCAGCGUUCCAGUGGAUUACAGGACAGUGGUUGAGGCAGCUGACAGGGCGAUCUUUAAUAUAACCUCCAUCAGUUUCCCUGAAGAGAUCUACAGCUUCAUAUGUCAGGCGUCUAACCAUGUGCCAUCAUUCAGUAACACCAGUGAAUACACGCAUACACCUCCUUUGAAUAAUUAUAGCCAAAAUCCGUUAAAAUCCCACCAAAAUCCGUUGCCAUGA
This 1356-nucleotide long non-coding RNA is filed under the name Sinocyclocheilus grahami. RNAcentral describes it as "lncRNA (ENSSGRG00000031637.1)". Lineage: Eukaryota; Metazoa; Chordata; Actinopteri; Cypriniformes; Cyprinidae. The record is from RNAcentral.